CAGCCCGGGCAGGGCCGCGACGGAGGCGAUGGCAGCUCGGCCGAGGGCAUCCGCGGUGGGAGCGCGGCUGCGGCGGGCGGGUCCCGGCCGUGCGGGGCGGGGGGAGCCUGCGGUGCCCGCGCCGCGCCGGGAGCGAGACCCCCCCGCAGCCCCCCGGGAAGUUCAGGGGUGCUGCGGGGAUGCUGCAGUGCCCGCGGUGAGCUCACAAUGGCACCGGUGAAGAACCGCUCUGCUAACCGCGCUCGGCUUCACCCUGAGCGUGGCAGUGCCCGGCAGCUGCCCGCAGCAGGUGGAGGAAAAGGGGCUCCAAAAAUCGCCCUGGAAGGAUUUUGGGGCGAGGGGGGGGAAAGAGCCACCUGAGCGCUGUCACCACUGCAGCAGUACUAGUGCAGGAGCUCUUACAGUGGCGGUUCACGUGGCACGAACCCAGGGUGAAAAAUCGAGAAUUAUUGGUAUCAUCCAUUCGCUGGCGACUGCUAGAGGGAGCGCGGAUGUUUCCCUGUGCCUUAUCCAUCCCUCAGAGGGAUCCACUUGUGUGUUUGCCAGGGCUGCAGCAAGCCUGCAGAGCUGCCACCCUGCCCCUGGCAGCCGUGCAGAUGGCUUCAUCCUCACUCAAGUGAAACUGUAGAAUCACAGAGUGAUUUGUGUUGGAAAGGACCUUAAAGAUCGUCUCAUUCCAACACCUUCCACCACACCAGGCUGAUCCAAGCCCCACAGACAGGGAUGCUUUGGAGACCAUGGCCCACCCAGCUGUACCUCCCCACUCCAUCCCUGCAUCCCAAAUCUGCAGGCAGCCGUGCUGAGAGUUGUCACCUGAGCCACCUGUACCUGGACAAGUUCACAGAUGGGUUUGGGAACUGGGCAGGAGCCCCCAUGGCAGUGGGGUGGGAGCCUCACAGGAGCAGGAGUGGUGUGGGAAGCACAGCAAGGAGCCAGGAUGCUGAGCAAGGACUCUUGUUAAAGGGGGAAGUCAGAGAAAAUCAUGACCUGUGAGUAAAGGGGGAGAAACAGCCCAGCACAAUUUGCUAAAACCUCUGGUAUUUGCCUAAAUUCAGGCUUUUGGCACAACAAGCUGAGAAUUUGGGGCAGUUCUUUGAACUUCAGGGUGUCCUUGUGCAGCACUGGCACUGCAGAGCCCUGAUUCAAAAUGCAGUAAAAAGAUAGAAAAGGGCUCCUGCUCUUGAGAGCUGCAGGGGUGGCUCCAGGAGAGGCUGGGCAUGAGGAAAAGCAGGAGCACUUCACCAUCCCCCACACCCAGGGACUGAGGGGAUGGGGCUCUGCAGGAGCUCUCUGGUGUGCAGAGUCCCCAGGCAGCUUUUGGGGACAGAAAUGGGGAAAAUCUGCUGUGUCAGUCUGCUGAAAAACAUCAACAAGAGCAGCCUGGAUCCCCCAAAACCUCAGGUCUGAUCUGGAUGCUGGGCACAACCAGCUCUCCAAGAGUCAAAAGGAAUGAGUCCUUGGCAAGUGGCAUCUAGUCCUUACAUCCAUCUGGAUCAAUCCAUCUGGAUAUUGUAAAACAGAGAAAAUUUAGCAUUUAUUCCAUGAAAUGGUAGAGUGGCUUUUGCAAGGGACAAUUAUUCCUGGCAGGGAGUCUCCAGCAGUGUCUGCAGCCCAAGCUGGGUGCUGGACCAGGGCACUCAGAAUAUCAGUGGACAGGUCUGUUUUCCUUAAUGAAUUCCCAGAGGGCCAACAAACAACCCACAAGGAGAGUAAGUGCAAUUUUUGAAAUUCUCUCUCCAUCAUCUCUACAGCCAUCCCUGAAUGAGAUAAAGCUCUGUAUGUAUAUAAAGCAAAUUAAUUCUAAUCAAGAUAAAUGCCCAGUUUCAUACCUAAUUUGCAUGAGCAUGUGCUGCAAACUGUGUUUGCAAAUGGGAGAAUUAUGGAUGUAACCAGAUAACCUGAGUGUGCAAUCCCAGUACUGUACAUGCAAAACUUACUCAUUGCACUUGAAUAAAAGUAAAGCUUCAGCAAAAGGGAACUUGGCUUUAAAGUACCAGCACAUUAUUUUUAUCAUAAAAAAAUCAGGUUAAAGCUGAUUUGAACCUUCCAAGAACCCAUUUAGCUGCUAAGGCAAAUUCCAAAUGAUGUUUCUUACUCAAUCUAACUUUAAUAAUAGACUGGUUGAGUUGCUGCACUGUCAGAACUGGAAUUUUUAAAAUUUACUGACAAAGAGAAUUUCUACAUUAGCACAUGGUUAUUUAAAAUGUGUCCUAAAGUUGGCUGUGGCCUCAUGGGUAAGUUAAAAACCUCACUCUGAAAACUUUCCUUACUACUUUCAAAUCUCCCUGAAGAGAUCUUGGAAGAUUUUCUCCCUUUCCCAUGCUUCCUCCUAUCCUUACUGGGGAACAGCUGGAUCCAUUAAAAUUGAUUUUGGUUUCUCAGAGCAGAAUUUGAUUUCUCUGAGCUUCCUCCUGGAAGGAGCAGAGAGUGUCCCAGCAAUCCAGCAAUAUCAGCCAGAGGAAAGGCACAAGGAUGGGGCACUCCCAACCCAGCUGGGUUGUGCCAGCUCCCAGCCAGAAAGCCAAGCCUUUGCUGGAAACCUCAAAAUUGGGAUGAAAUGAAACUUUAGGAAAUGAAUUGUGCCUCCAUCCCUUACUCCUUUUAGUUUUAAAUUAAGAAAAAUUUGAAAUUAACAGCUAAUUAAAGACACAAAAUUAGAAACAUAUUAUUUCCCAAAAUUGCUUUGAUGAUAUUUUUUAAAUUUAAUUUUUUUUUUAUUCCAGCUUUUACCAGGAAGUUGACAGCUCUGCAAGGAGUCUGUGUCCCAAAGGGAUGGGAGUCCCUGGCUGUGCAGAUGAGGCAUGAAGAGAUUGGGAAUAUUUCCUAAGGACACAAGGGAAGCCUGAGUCCAUGCCAGAACAAUUCCCAGCUGAAAGAGCUGUGAGCACCACCAGCUUCUUUCAGUACAUCCUCAAAAAUGUGUGAUGGGAAAAAGAUCUCCAAAGAGGGAUUUUUGAUCUGUGCCCCAGGUUUGUUGUGCCCUGGCACGCUGUAGGGCCAGCUUCCAACUGGCCCCUUCCAAAUAUCACCAGAGGCAUCUCUGUGGCUGUUUAUCACCAAGAAAAUCCAGUCCAAGAGACCAGCAGCUUCAGCAGCAGUCCCCAGGAAAAGCUCAGCCUGGCCCACAUUCCACAGUCUCCUCCAGCACAUCUCCACUAAAUAAUUCCCAUCAAAGCUACAGCAGUUGUUAAUAUCUGCUUUUUUCUUUUUCCCCUCUGCAAAGGUGUAGUUAUAACUGCAUUUUACACCCCUCUCACUCAUAAAAUACAGAGCACCAACUCUUUCCUUCCUCAGCUUCCUCAGCAGCAUCUUUAUGCAAACCUUGCUGAUGUGAUGCUGCUGUAGUAACUUAUUAGUUAUUAAAACUAAUAACUUACAAGUUAUUAAAACUUAUAAUUAAGUUAGAGUUACUCACUUAUAAGUUAUUAAAACUGAAUUAAACAGAGCUAAGGAUGGACAGGUUUAAAAUUUGAGUGAAUAUUCUGUUUCCCCCCUUGCCACAUUUCCCCAUCUCUUUUUCUGUGAGGGUAAAAUGGUCUUGGCGACCUUCCUGUGCUGCACAUCCCUGGGGACCAUGAAAACAAACCCAUUAAUGUUUAUAAAGUGUCUCAGACUGGGGGAAUUACAUCACUGUGGCGAGAUACAAGCUUAAUGGAUCAAAACAAACCCCAGCUCCAAACCCCCCAGCUUAGACACAUCUCAGUUACCCGGCACAAACCUCAAGGAAUCCCACUGAGAAGGGAUAAUUGAGAGAAAAAUGUGAUGCCAGAGAUUUUUCUGCAGUAAACCCAUUUUAUGUUAAUAGAAAGCAGAUUUCUAGACCCCUUUGCAAACCAAUGACUUCCACAGCAUAUUUCACAGCUGAGCACAUCCAUGGCACCAGCUUUGGACACGGGGCUGUUAAACCCAACAUUUAUUUAAUGAAUUACAGCAGUCCAUGAAUCUGGGUGUGCUCAGCCUGUGUUUAAAUGUUUAUUGUCAGCAGCCAGCUCUGCAUGAGCAGGUAUCAGCCUCAGUGAUGAGCUCUCACUGCAAUGGACCCAAAACGUUGAACAUGUUUUUGGGUUCUGCUUUCUUACCCAAGACAGAUUACCCAGGAGGUUCAGGGUCUCUGCUAAACAUAAAACCUUUGGGGUUCAGUGCCAGUUUGGGGUGUUUUCUCCUUGGUGAUGAACUGCCGUGCCUCUCCCACCUGCCUGGGGUUCUGAAGGGUGGAUUAAGCCAUUAAAACUCCACAUUCGAGCAAGGUUGAUGUGCUGCAGCCAUCUCCAAGAUGACUCCAGUCUCACCUCACCACUCAAUCUAGAAACCUUGACAAAAAAUUAGCUCUGGUUCGCCCUCCUAUUUUAACACGUUCUCCACUGCCAGCUAUGUGUGAAGUGCUCCCUUUCACGGGAGAUAGAGACAGUGGUGAUGAUGUGCUGUGAUCAUUUUGCUUUCCUGCAAAAUGCCUCUGAUCCAUGGUGGUCUCCACUCCAGAGAUCCCCACCCAGGAGCAGUUUUAGAGUCCUUUGGGCUGGAAGAGACCUUAAGGACCAUCUCAUUCCAGCCCCUGCCAUGGGCAGAGACACCUUCCACUGUCCCAGGCUGCUCCAAGCCCUGUCCAUCCCUGCCUUGGACACUUCCAGGGAUCCAGGGGCAGCCACAGCUUCUCAGUUCCGGGGCCUCACCACCCUCCCAGUUAAGAAUUUCUUCCUCACACCCAGUGUAACCCUGCCCUCUGUCAGUGGGAAGCCAUUCCCCCCUGUGCUGUCAUUUCAGGUGAAGUCUGAAUGAAAUGCCACUUUCCCCUCUUUUCCCCAUCACAAAUCAGGGAGAUUUGGUUGGGCUUUUUCAGAGCUGCCAGGGUGAUCUGGGAGAUCAGGUCCUGCUGAUCCCCCAAGACUUCCCUGGGAAGGUGGGAGUGGGGACUCUGUGGAGACGUUAUCUUUGCAUUUCCCUCCUGUUCUGUGAUGAGCACCAUGUGGGAGCUCCAAUGAAUGGUGAGAAUGUGAAGCACUCAGCAGGAUAAUGUGUGCCGUGAAAAAAAUCCUGUGAUCAAUCAGCAGACAAAUAUAUACUUAAAUGAGGUGUUAGUGGGAGAGAUGCAGGAAAGGUGAUUAUGGGUUUGUCUCCGUGUUUCCCUCAGCAGCAGUGCUGACACGCCAGGGUGGGUCACCCUACCCUGCCAUUAGCGGAGCAUCAGCACUCAUCUGACAGCUCCUUUGUCCCGGCAAGCCGAUUCCUAUGAAGAUUUGGCAUUAGCAGAGGCAAGGUGAAACUCCGAGUUUUUGCAUUCUCAUGACCCUCCAAAUGCUUCAGCCUGAUGGAUCACAGGUAAAAUCACUGUCCUAAUUAGGGCAGGAGGCAGAAAUAAAUAUUUGUACUCAUCUGUUUCAGCUGUGGCAAUAAACACCACGGGCAGAACCAGUGGAAGAGCAGCUCCCUCUGCUCUCUUCCCAGAAAACAGAACUGGGAACAGGGGCCACAGGGCAGGGCACGUGGGAAGGGUCAGCUGGAGCAUCAUGUCACAGUCACGUUUUCUGAAAAAUCCCUUUGCCCAGGAUUUUUCUCCUGGGAAACUGAGAAGCCUCGGAGAAAAAGGAAAACAAUUCUGAUUUCAUUUGCUUCUCCUGUGUUGUGCUCACAUGUGGAAUGUGUUUGGAGAUUGUUCACCCACAGGUGAUUGUUCCAUUGCAUUCUGCUGGGAGUUGUUUUCACUCUUUGGGCAAUCAGGGCCAGGCUGUGUCAGAGCUCUGGAAAGAGUCACAAGUUUUCAUUAUUAUCUUUUUAGCCUUCUGUCUGUAUCCUUUCUGCAUUCUUCAGUAUAGUUUAGUAUAUACAAUAUAGUAUUAUAAAGUAAUAAAUUGUCCUUCUGAGAA
Haemorhous mexicanus (house finch) is the source of this 5861-nucleotide long non-coding RNA. RefSeq lists it as uncharacterized. The record is from RefSeq and is a predicted model, not a curated record. NCBI's taxonomy places the organism in Eukaryota, Metazoa, Chordata, Aves, Passeriformes, Fringillidae. The transcript has 2 exons.